Long non-coding RNA from Solanum tuberosum (potato), 530 nucleotides. RefSeq lists it as uncharacterized. The transcript is spliced from 3 exons. NCBI's taxonomy places the organism in Eukaryota, Viridiplantae, Streptophyta, Magnoliopsida, Solanales, Solanaceae. The record is from RefSeq and is a predicted model, not a curated record.
AUCUAUAAAUAGCAACUCAAUCUCAUAGUUAUAAUUCAAGGCGUAGCAAAUUCAUAAUAUAUACUUGCUCUCUUACAUAACUAAAAAACUCUAUUUCAUCCCCCUUAGCUUCAAUCUCCUAAACAUGUCGAACAAGUGUGGUAGUUGCGAUUGCGCUGAUGUCAGCCAAUGCGUGAAGAAGGAAAACCAGUAUGAUAUCAUCAUCGUAGAUAAGAGCGAUACGGUGGUGAUGAUGGAUGUUGGAGCUGAAGAACAUGAUGGAAAAUGCAAAUGUGGCAGUAGCUGUGCCUGUGUGAACUGCACUUGUGCUCAUUAAGAAUGUCAAGAACAAUUUAUCUAAAACUAUAUGAGUGAUAUGUGUUUAAAUAAAAUAACAAUAUUACUUUGUUAUCUAUGGUGAAAUAAGAGUUCCUUGUGCUAAACACAAAAUGUAAAGGAGUAAGUACUCUACUUAGUGUCUUGUCUCUUUGGUCAAGUUUGUAGCACAAGUUUUCAUUGUUAAAUAGACUCUGCUACUACUACUUUACUUA